Molecule: ribosomal RNA, 550 nt
Filed under: uncultured Mycoplasma sp.
Lineage: Bacteria; Bacillati; Mycoplasmatota; Mollicutes; Mycoplasmatales; Mycoplasmataceae
Description: partial 23S ribosomal RNA
Rfam family: Bacterial large subunit ribosomal RNA
Source: RNAcentral
AAGGUGAGGUCGAAAGACGUAAUUGAUGGACAACGGGUUAAUAUUCCCGUACUACCUUGGGCUGUUAAUGGGUGGACAAAAGAGGUUUAGGUAAGAGGAUUAAUGGAUUUCCUUUUAAGUUUCAAAGCAAGCUAGGGAUGAAAAUCACCUUAGUAUAUAUUGCAAGAAACGAAUACGAUUUCUAGUGGCGACACUAGAAAGAGUUACUAACAAUCGCUUUUCGAGAAAAGACUCUAGACAUAAGCUCAAGGUAUUCGUACCGAAAACGAACACACGUGAUCAAGGAGAAUAUCCUAAGGCUAGCGAGCUAACUACAGUUAAGGAACUCUGCAAAUUAACUCUGUAACUUAGGGAGAAAGAGUGCCCCAGAAGGAAUCUGGGGUCACAGUAAAGAACGAGGGCGGACUGUUUAACAAAAACACAGCUAUAUGCAAAAUUCGAAUAUGAAGUAUAUGUGGCGACACCUGCCCGGUGCCAGAAGGUCAAAGAAGGUUGUUAGGCUAGUUUUCUAGCUGAAGCUUCUAACUUAAGCCCUGGUGAACGGCGGCCG